Long non-coding RNA from Hyla sarda, 692 nucleotides. RefSeq lists it as uncharacterized. NCBI's taxonomy places the organism in Eukaryota, Metazoa, Chordata, Amphibia, Anura, Hylidae. The record is from RefSeq and is a predicted model, not a curated record. The transcript has 3 exons.
GGCACAUAGCCGCGCCUCCUAUGACACACUUCCGGCUCACUGGUAUAAAACAGUGAAAAAGCCGCGAUCAUGGCACAUCACCUCUAUCCAGUGAUGUCCAAGCACCUAGAGGCCAAUGAUAGGGUAAGUGCCGUUUUGACCAAGGGAGGGCUCCGCUUCUGUUGGAAACUAUCUGCGUCCAAUGUGGGGCACACAUCUUUGCUCAUUGCACUGUAUUGUAUCUUUCACUUCAGGCCCCAAAGUGGAAGGUCUAAUUAGACCCUAGAUGGCAAUCUGUCAGUAAAUCCACCAGGGCAUUAUCAUUUGCUGGGAUCACAUGGUCCAGAGUAUAAACAAUAAACACCGUCAGUCUACAUAGGAGAAUUAACCACCCAAGCCCUCAUACAUGGUUAUUCAAAACCAAGUUCAUCUACAUAUGCAUAGAACCUGAAUGGCACUAUAUCUAUGUGUGGAAGUAACAACCACUCUAUGCUAUUGUCAAUAGUGGAACCUACAUGGAUGUGAUGACACAUAUAAGACUAUGGUGUUACAUAUAAAUAAUCUUUAUGUUUUAUUGAAUUUAAAGUUAUGACAUGGUGACCUGUGGUUAUUAGACUGACUUUGGACUCUUUGACGGGGUAUACAGCACUCUGAAUGAUUGUUUCGGACUGCAAACUUACCAAUCUGGACCCAAACUGUGGUUCCAACUUGCC